CCUACGGGAGGCAGCAGUGAGGAAUAUUGGUCAAUGGACGCAAGUCUGAACCAGCCAUGUCGCGUGCAGGAUGACUGCCCUAUGAGUUGUAAACUUCUUUUGUAUGGGGAUAAAUUGCGAUACGUGUACUGGUUUGCAAGUACCGUAUGAAUCAGGAUCGGCUAACUCCGUGCCAGCAGCCGCGGUAAUACGGAGGAUCCAAGCGUUAUCCGGAUUUAUUGGGUUUAAAGGGAGCGUAGGCGGAUGGUUAAGUUAGUGGUGAAAUCGCGGGGCUCAACUGUGACAUUGCCGUUGAUACUGGCAGCCUUGAGUAUAGUUGAGGUAGGCGGAAUGUGUGGUGUAGCGGUGAAAUGCAUAGAUAUCAUGAAGAACACCGAUUGCGAAGGCAGUUUACUAGACUGCAACUGACGUUGAGGCACGAAAGCGUGGGGAGCAAACAGGAUUAGAUACCCGAGUAGUC
RNAcentral lists this ribosomal RNA (460 nucleotides) under uncultured bacterium. Its description in RNAcentral is "partial 16S ribosomal RNA". It matches the Rfam family "Bacterial small subunit ribosomal RNA", at positions 338 to 795 of the family's 1533-position model. The record is from RNAcentral.